RNAcentral lists this long non-coding RNA (423 nucleotides) under Cyanistes caeruleus (blue tit). Its description in RNAcentral is "lncRNA (ENSCCEG00000015740.1)". The record is from RNAcentral. Lineage: Eukaryota; Metazoa; Chordata; Aves; Passeriformes; Paridae.
UUUUGGUUUUUUUGGGAGGGUUUUUUGUUUUUUUGUUGUUUUUUUUUUUUUUUCUCCUUCAGUGCAAAGCAGCAUGAUUCAUUGUAUUUCCUUCUUAGUGAUCUCUCCUGGUUCCUCACCCCAUGUUCUCCACUGAUCAGACCCAUUGGUGAUUAGAUGCUCAGCAGAAGUGAUUUUGCAGCCUUUGACACCUUGCAUCCCCUGCUGCCUGGAUUUCAAAGAGAGAAAAACAACUUCUGGAUUACCUCAAGUGCGCUGGCAACAUAAGUAGCAACAGACUUCCAGAUGAAGAAGCCUAUGUGGAACAUGUAAAAUGGUAAGCAAAACUUGUGUGCUGAGUCUUAUGAAAAGUGUAAGAAAAGGAAAUUCUGCAGCUUGGGUUCCAACAUUCAUGUUUACUUUUAAAUCUAAAUGUGACCAGAC